Long non-coding RNA from Exaiptasia diaphana, 471 nucleotides. RefSeq lists it as uncharacterized. NCBI's taxonomy places the organism in Eukaryota, Metazoa, Cnidaria, Anthozoa, Actiniaria, Aiptasiidae. The record is from RefSeq and is a predicted model, not a curated record. The transcript is spliced from 3 exons.
AACAGCUUUCGAAUUUAUCGGGGAAUUUUCCUUUUCACAAGCUCAGGUCAUCGUACAGACGGACCAAAAGAUAUCUGCUCCUACAAGCAAUUGUGGGCCGGCCGGCCCUGAUGUUCUGAUAGAGAAAGCGGAUGCAUCAGCCUUCAAGAAGCGAGGAUUUCUUUUUGGUUGGCCUGUGGGCCUUAACGAAGAAUGUUGCGGGGAAUGGCCAUGUACGCAAGAAGAAAUAAACGAAGUUGGUGGGCAUGCGAUAACUCCUAAACAGUAUGCACGGAAGCAUUGCCCGCACGUUUUAGGAAAGCGUCAGCAGCCUUAGUUGGGCCUUGGUGAAAUUCCUUAGAAUGCCAGUAUAUGUUAAAGGCAUUUGCAAGGAGAUGCAUGUAUAUGAUAAAACCGACAGAAACUACAUAAUUAUGUUAAAGAAGAAAAGGAAUAAUAUAUAAUGAAAAUAAUAAGCUACGAAUAACUUAA